This is a long non-coding RNA of Pungitius pungitius (ninespine stickleback), 3103 nucleotides long. RefSeq lists it as uncharacterized. NCBI's taxonomy places the organism in Eukaryota, Metazoa, Chordata, Actinopteri, Perciformes, Gasterosteidae. The record is from RefSeq and is a predicted model, not a curated record. The transcript has 2 exons.
CAGCUCGUCAGGUGCAGGAGGCUCAAAGUCCAGGCUGCGAUUGUAAGCCACUGCUGUUGAGGCUCAACAGCGUGGCUACCCAGGUGGUGGUGAAGUAGACGGUCCCAAAAAAAGAAACUGCAAUGCAAAGUGGAUUAAAAAAAAGAAAGGAGAACCCCUGACUGCGGUACACAGACCAAGAUUUUUGCUAUUACCUUUUUAAAAUUUCAAUUCUAUUACUGAACUUCAGGAUUUGGGGAAUAUUAAGAUGCCAACCAGGUGUAAAAUGUUUGACCUUCCUUUUGUGGAGUCACCCUGUGAGGUGAGGGGAAAGUAACCAUUCAUUUUAUUUAAUGCGUUUUUUUUUUUUACUCAUUUCAGUUUGUUCCAUAUGCUUUGGGCAAGAAACCUAGUGGUGGAGUACAAAAACGUCAGAGACUUGGGUUAUUAACAACACUACCACAGGGACGCAGCUCGUAUCACCAACGGAAAGCUUAUAAUGUUUUGAAUGGCUUGGUAGUCCAAAAUGAUGGUGCUGUAUGUUCUGUAGUGUAAAUUGCUUGAAUUGUAUGUGCGUACCCUGUAAAAAUGCACUGUAAAUACACAUGUCUGUGGACAGUAAUUAAAACUGCUUGAAAGAACUGUCAUCUUGACUGAAAGUGAUUUUUGUUGCAGUGACAAAUGGGAAUGUUCUAAAGAUUCAUUUAAAUGGAUAUUCAAAAUUGUUCAAUGUAAUGUUGUUGCUGGCAUAAUGACUCUGAAAUUCAAACACUUCAAUGUAACCCCCACCCUCUAUGUUAGGGCCUUGGUGUUAAAAUGUAUUCCUUUUUACAAUUGUACUUUGUAAUUGCGACUGUAGAUUAAUAAAGUUAAUGUAUUCUGGAAUCUUGUAGGAACCACCUGCGAUUGCUGAUUAUGGGUGGUCGACCUCAAAUGACGGAACCGUCCAGGUUAAAGGAAGCUUAUGGAUCUUGGGUAGCAGAUGGGCGAGGCUUGGGCUCUUCAUCCAGGUAUUUAUGUAAUGCUUGUCGUGCAGGCUGUGUCGCUGUUAAAAUGUCUUUAAACCUUAACUGUCUGCUUCCAGUAUGUCCUUGUCUGUAACUUUUUGGGCUCCCUUUAUCUGCUGUUUAACUGCUGUUCAAUGUUUUAAGAAUAGGUGUAUUGCUGAUUAAUGUUGGUCUGUGUAAAGAGCUCUCGGUGUUGCCAAGAUUUUUCCUGCUGUGUUCCUUAUUUAUUUAUGUUGUGACUCGAAACAGGGUGGUCAAGAAAACAUAACUGGCUCCCUGAAGUCAAGCUAAUUCUGCCUCCUGUGAGAAGUGUAGAAAUGACCUCUGCCCUCCAGCUGACUUGGGGUUUUGGUGAGGUUAGUAUCUUUUCCUCAGUACUGUUUUGUAAUACUUGUUGGGAGGGCUGUUUGAUGGCUCUAAUAACAUGUGCCUAACUGACUCCCCAGUAUUGCUUUUGUUAUGCUUGCAGGCAAAGUACUGUUGUGUUCUCUGGAUGGUCCUACAUCAACCUAAACGGCUCGUGCUUCAGGGCCUCCAAGAAGUGGUCCAGCAGCUUCAGCCUCCUGUGGACUGAGCCAUUUGAGCAAAAGUUAAGACUUUUUUUUUUCCCCCAGUCUUUUUAUCAUUCAAGUUGUGGCACAACUUUCUGAUUCUAUUGUAUGGCCCAAAGAACUAUUUUGGCUCUUUGCACUGUAACAUAAAAUAGUAAAUGGCAAAAAAUUGGUACACUAAAGUCAUUUCUGCUGAAUUUGUUGCCCAUACUGAACGAAAAUUAGUUAAGAACUUUCUGCUGCGCAAAUUUAUGAAGCUAAUCAUUUCAAGAAACUUUUACUUGCAACGAAGAUACUCCGCUGCACGUAUGCGCAUUUUACCGCCGCAGACGUGAUUUCCGUUGAGGCGGACGCUAUAAGUGUGAAGCAAGCGCUGCUCAGUCCAGAAGGUAAGUUUCAGCUACCCUUGCACGAUAAAAUGUUAGUUGAUUUAGCAAACUUACUCUGCAAUUUGCCAGUCUUUAACUGUUUGUGGUUAACUUGUUAUUAAAGUCUAGCUUGAAUGUUAACAGCUAGACUGUCACAUGUGGAACCCUCUAAAAUUACAUUAAAUAUAAAUUGCCUUUCAGCAGACUGCAUGCUUAAUAGGUUCAAUGAUAAUUUGUCAAUCUUUCAGCGUAAUGCUUUAAUUCGGUAUAAAUGGUUUUUAUUUUUGUCUAUGGUACGGUAACGCAUGAUUUUGAAAGAAGCAACCUCAUCAGGAAAAACUUUACUCUUUAUCACUUGGUUAGGCCUGACUCAAGUUAGCCAGGACCAGUCCUUGGUUAAGCUGUUGUAGGCAAACUGCCUGACGACUUCUUAGGACACACCAAGCCCAGCUUACACCUUCCACAAUAAACCAGGUCUCCAUAGAUCAUAGUUCUGUCUGUUCCUGACACCAGCUGCUGCCACCAUUAUUUUAAAUAAAAUUCAUAUUACUGUCAUCAUAUGCCAACAUCACCCUUUCCUAAAGUCUUUACUCUCCCUCUCCACAGAAGCUUCUGUUGAUGGUGGUUCUGAUGAUGAUUCUCGUCACUGCAGUGGUCUUGCCGUAGACUUGGCCUGCUACUUGCAAUUAUUUGUAUCAUUUGUGUUACAGGAUUUGAAUGUAUUGUACAUCCUUUACAAUGUUAAUUCUAUACACAUGCCAUUCAUUGCAGUAUUUCUAUCCUGGGAGAGGGAUCCUUCCAGAUGGUCUCACUAAGGUCUUUCUGCCCCAUUGAAGGAUUCAUUUGUGGAAGUUUUUCCUGUGUGAAUACAAGCCAGGAUGCAAGGUGAUGACAUCUUGUCAAUGUUUCACAAAUUUUCUGAAUGUUUUUGGUAAUGUUGUCUUAUUACUUGCAGGAGAAGCCUUGUGGGAGAAUUUCCAUUGCACUGCAACCGAUGGCAAUUAGCUCACGGUAAGACUUGUUUCUUUUAGUUUAUUACAUGUUUUAACUUAUGUCCAAGAAUAAAAGCCUUUGACUACAAGAAGUCGCAAACUUGUGAAUGUUUCAUGGAUUAUUCUGGCUGUGUUGAGUAAUGUCUUAUUACUUGCAGGAUGCCUUGGGCAGCAUUGGCCUUGUGAGAAAACUGCAACUGUGCUGC